This 253-nucleotide ribosomal RNA is filed under the name uncultured bacterium. Its description in RNAcentral is "partial 16S ribosomal RNA". It matches the Rfam family "Bacterial small subunit ribosomal RNA", at positions 524 to 776 of the family's 1533-position model. The record is from RNAcentral.
UACGUAGGGGGCAAGCGUUGUCCGGAAUCAUUGGGCGUAAAGAGCGUGUAGGCGGCCAGAAAAGUCCGCUGUGAAAACUCGAGGCUCAACUUCGAGCUGUCGGUGGAAACUUUCUGGCUAGAGUCCGGAAGAGGAGAAUGGAAUUCCUGGUGUAGCGGUGAAAUGCGCAGAUAUCAGGAGGAACACCGGUGGCGAAGGCGGGUCUCUGGGCAACAACUGACGCUGAGGCGCGAAAGCUAGGGGAGCGAACUGG